GACGUAGGGUGGGAGCGUUGUCCGGAUUUAUUGGGCGUAAAGAGCUCGUAGGCGGCUCGUCGCGUCGACCGUGAAAACCCGCGGCUUAACUGCGGGCUUGCGGUUGAUACGGGCGGGCUAGAGUUCGGUAGGGGAGACUGGAAUUCCUGGUGUAGCGGUGAAAUGCGCAGAUAUCAGGAGGAACACCGGUGGCGAAGGCGGGUCUCUGGGCCGAUACUGACGCUGAGGAGCGAAAGCGUGGGGAGCGAACAGG
This 253-nucleotide ribosomal RNA is filed under the name uncultured bacterium. Its description in RNAcentral is "partial 16S ribosomal RNA". It matches the Rfam family "Bacterial small subunit ribosomal RNA", at positions 524 to 776 of the family's 1533-position model. The record is from RNAcentral.